AGUUUGUUGUUUUUUAUUAUAAAUGUUUUCUGCCCGGUGUUAAAGUUGAACGGCCGCGGUAUUUUGACCGUGCAAAGGUAGCAUAAUCAUUUGCCCUUUAAUUGGGGGCUGGAAUGAAUGAAAGUUUGAAAUUCUAACUGUCUCUUUUUUAUUUUAUAAUUUGCUGUUUUUAUGAAGAAGUAUGGGUUGUGGAGAAGGACAAGAAGACCCUUUUAAGCUUUAUUUUUAUUUUUUUGUCUUUUCUUUUAAGUAUAAUGAUAGUAAUUAGUAAAAUUUGGUGGGGUGAUUGGAAGAGACAGAAUCUUUUCUGGAUAUAUAAACUUUGUGUUUUAGUUGAACCAAGAUUUUUUGGUUGAUAGAAUAAGUUACUAAAGGGAUAACAGCGUAAUCUUUUCAGAGAGUUCUUAUUGAAGAGAGGGAUUGCGACCUCGAUGUUGACUUGUUUUAUCCUUGGAAGGGCAGA
This 463-nucleotide ribosomal RNA is filed under the name Lineidae sp. 41DS. Its description in RNAcentral is "partial 16S ribosomal RNA". It matches the Rfam family "Bacterial large subunit ribosomal RNA", at positions 1817 to 2560 of the family's 2925-position model. Lineage: Eukaryota; Metazoa; Nemertea; Pilidiophora; Heteronemertea; Lineidae. The record is from RNAcentral.